UUUUCGUAGGUGAACCUGCGGAA
RNAcentral lists this ribosomal RNA (23 nucleotides) under Pachnocybe ferruginea. RNAcentral describes it as "partial 18S ribosomal RNA". The record is from RNAcentral. Lineage: Eukaryota; Fungi; Basidiomycota; Pucciniomycetes; Pachnocybales; Pachnocybaceae.